CCUACGGGUGGCAGCAGUGGGGAAUAUUGGACAAUGGGGGAAACCCUGAUCCAGCGACGCCGCGUGAGGGAAGACGGUCCUAUGGAUUGUAAACCUCUUUUGUCGGGGAGCAAAAGACGCCACGCGUGGCGUUCCGAGAGUACCCGAAGAAAAAGCAUCGGCUAACUACGUGCCAGCAGCCGCGGUAAUACGUAGGGAGCGAGCGUUGUCCGGAAUUACUGGGUGUAAAGGGAGCGUAGGCGGGACGGCAAGUCAGAUGUGAAAACUGAGGGCUCAACUUUCAGACUGCAUUUGAAACUGCUGUUCUUGAGUGAAGUAGAGGUAAGCGGAAUUCCUAGUGUAGCGGUGAAAUGCGUAGAUAUUAGGAGGAACAUCGGUGGCGAAGGCGGCUUACUGGGCUUUUACUGACGCUGAGGCUCGAAAGCGUGGGGAGCAAACAGGAUUAGAUACCCGGGUAGUC
This 460-nucleotide ribosomal RNA is filed under the name uncultured bacterium. RNAcentral describes it as "partial 16S ribosomal RNA". It matches the Rfam family "Bacterial small subunit ribosomal RNA", at positions 338 to 795 of the family's 1533-position model. The record is from RNAcentral.